UACGUAGGGUGCGAGCGUUAAUCGGAUUUACUGGGCGUAAAGGGCGCGUAGGCGGUCAGCACAAGUCAGUUGUGAAAUCUCCGAGCUUAACUCGGAAAGGUCAACUGAUACUGUGCGACUAGAGUGCAGAAGGGGCAACUGGAAUUCUCGGUGUAGCGGUGAAAUGCGUAGAUAUCGAGAGGAACACCUGCGGCGAAGGCGGGUUGCUGGGCUGACACUGACGCUGAGGCGCGAAAGCUAGGGGAGCGAACGGG
Molecule: ribosomal RNA, 254 nt
Filed under: uncultured bacterium
Lineage: Bacteria
Description: partial 16S ribosomal RNA
Rfam family: Bacterial small subunit ribosomal RNA
Source: RNAcentral